CAGCCUCCUGAAUGAGGACCAGGAGGAGGUGAGUGAUGCGGCCGCACCUUCGCUCAAAGGAGUUCACAUGCCUUCCGAGUCCGCCUCAUCUCUCAACCCGCUUUUUCCUGUUCGCAUUUCACUCCUUUCUACCUUCCUUGUGCCCAUUCUAUCUUUUGCUUCUGCCUAUCCACGACAGCUCCUUAUUCGCCGUUUCUCUCCCUUAAUUUCACUCAUCCUUGGGCCCCUUCCACCUCUGAUCUGGCAGCGGACAUUGCUCAGGGAACCAAACCUAUGUAUGGCAUUUAUUUACUCAGGGUUAUUUGUGAGCAAGUUUUUAUUCUCCACUAGACUGGGUUGUGGAAAGGAGGAGCCUGAUUUUAUUCAUUACAGAAAUCGCAGUGCUUAGCACUUAGUAAGCGUUCGAUCAUUGUGUGAAUGGAUGAAGAGAUCGGUUUGAGAUAACAGGAUGUGUAAAUGGAAAUUCUUUGUAGAGAGUUGGGAACCAUUGAGAUUAAGGGUUUUAGACUGGGGAGGAGAAAACCUUCCCCCAAGACCUGAUGGGAUGAAUGUAGGAACAGUGAUGUGGGCACCUGCAACUGCCCAUGAGGCUGCUUUGAGAAAGGUCUUGUGAAGUGGUUUCAAUCUUGACAUUGAAGAAUGAGGGAGAGUGAGAUCAGUUGUGCUCUAAUGAAAGUGAGAACUGGGAUGGAAAAAUAGUUUAAGGAAAGGUUUUAAUUACUGCUGUAUAAGUAUUCAUACCUCCUAGGUGCUUUGACUGUUAAAAAAAAUGAGAAAUUUACAAACAUUACAGGCAUCUAGGGGCAGGUUGAAAUUACAACUUUUGGGAGAUGUCUUGAUGAUUGUUUUUCUUCCAGCAGUGGGACAUAAAGCACAGUGAGAAGGAGAAUAGUGGCUGGAUUCAGACAGCCUGAGUUUGAAGCCCUGCUUUGCCACUUAAUACCUAUAUGACCUUGGGUGUCAAGAAUUUACCUGAGCUACUCACGGUAUUGCUGCCUCAGCGUCCAUUUUAUUUGCAGGACUUUCGGGGACCCUAAACUGAUGUAAGCACAUGCCCCAGAUAGAGUCACAAGCAAAUCUAAGUUCCUGAUAUGACUUCCCCAGCAGCCCUUUGAUCUACAGUCUCCCUGGCUUCCAGUGCCUGUGUGCAAUAUUGCCCCCUUAGAGAAGACCCAGUGGGGCUUAUCCAAAUCCCUACUCUUUUGGUUUAAAUUGACCAGUCUGACCCUAGCCUGGGAACCCCAAAGUACUCCAUUCAGAGACCCUAAUAAAGGCAUGUCCCAAGUCCUGACACUCUCUGCCUGCACCCUACCUUGCCUUCCCCCUGUGGUCCCUUAAGGUGUCCUGGGUACUUUCUCCAGGACCUGUGAGUAAUAAACUACUCUAUUUCAAUUUCUCUUAUGGACUGUUGUUGAACAUUGGCUCACCAUCUGGCAUGCUAUCCUCCGCUUAGCAGAUGUUAAUUUAAGAAAGUCAAGACAUUGGGCAAAUUACUUAACCUCUCCAAGCUGCAUUUCUUUUUCUUUUCUUUUCUUUCACUUUUUAGGGCUGCACCCUAGGCAUAUGGAAGUUCCCAGGCUAGGGAUCAAAUUGGAUCUGCAACUGCUGGCUACACCACAGCCACACCAGAUCCGAGCCGCAUCGUUUCUUCACCUGUAAAAAGGGGGAUAAAAAUAGUGAUCACAUUUUUAGGAAAUGUUUCCCCCUGAAUAAAGAAGUAAAAAAUAACUUACCCAUGAAACCAAAUACAUUUAUUUUGUAAGGAUUUAAAAACAAAAAACAAAAUAGAGGAGUUCCCUGGUAGCCUAGUAGUUAAGAAUUUGGCAUUCUUGCUGUUAUGGCUCAUGUUGAUCCCAAGCCUGGAAACUUCCAUAUACCUUAGACAGCAGCCAAAACAAAACAGAGACAUAAGCAGCUAAACUGUGGGGACUUUAGCUUCUGGUUUUUUUUUUUUCCAGUUUAUGGGUAAUAGCAAAUAUUAAACAGAAGAAAUGACAAACAUAAUAAAACAGAAAUUUUUAAAAUGUUCUCCAAAGAGCAGAUAUACAGUGUACUCCUUUUCCAAAAAGGAAGUAAAGGGAAAACAGAAAACCCUUUAUCUCAUUGAAUACAGCUUUUGUCACAUAGAACUUUGCAGAGCUCCCCUUAUUUUCUACUUCUUCUGGUGCUUCAUAUUUUAGAAGUGUCUUUACUAAUUCCUGGGUUUCUGAAAACUAAAAUUUUAACCAAGUUGGAACAGACUUCUUUUUCCUUUCAUAAAUAUGCAUAAACAAAUGAAGUAACUCCCAAAUGUGAGACUGUUUCUGGGACAUAUUGCAGAAGAUGAAAUGAGCAGUUAGGGGCUAUGUCAUGCAUGUGGCAGAAGGGAUGCACUUGACAGCCUACCCAGGCUGUCUGUAGUCUGCACCAUUUGAUAGUUCUAUCAGAACAUCAGAUCCUAAGUGUUGAGUUUACAUUUACACCAUUUUAUUAAAGUUUAAAACAUAAAGGGAGAAUAGAUAACUGGACUUGUUGAAUUUGAAUAUGUAUAAAUUUGAAUAUGUUUAAGUCCAGAAUGUGUGUGUGUGUAUAUAUAUGUAAACAAAAUUCAGCUACUGAGUUAUAAUUUACAUGCCCGUAUCUUCUGGAAAAUUGAGUGAGAGGGGAUUAGAAAAUUGGGAGCUCCUUAAAGUAUGAGAACUUUCUCCAAAGAAUCUUGUUAUAGGCUGAACUGUGUGCCCCCAGAUUUCCUAUGUUGAAGCCCUAACCCUCAGAGUUACUGUAUUAGGCAACAGGACCUUUAAGGAGGUAAUUAUGGUUAAAUAAAUUCUUAAGGAUGAGGCCCUAAUUCAGUUCUCCCUCUUUGCCCCCCUCCCCUGAGGACAUAGGAGAGGCCCCAUGAGGCAGUCUACAAGCCAGGAAGAGAGAUCUCACCAGAAACCAACCCUGAUGGCACCCUGAUCUUGGAUUUCAAACCUCCAGAAUGCCUGAAGUUUCACAUGAGGAAGACAGCAUGAAGAAAGUCAACGUCUGACUGUGUCUUUUCAAUGAUCCAUUAAUCUGAACCAUGAGGUUGCAGGUUCGAUCCCUGGCCUUGCUCAGUGGGUUAAGAAUCUGGCGUUACUGUGAGCUGUGGCAUAGGUCACAGACACGGCUCGGAUCUGGCGUGGCUGUGGCUGUGGCUGUGGCUGUGGCCGGCAGCCACAGCUCCGAUUCAACCCCUAGCCUGGGAACCUUCAUGUGCCACAGGUGCAGCCCUAAAAAUUUUAGACCAAAAAAAAAAAAAAAAAAAAGAAAGAAAGAAAGAAAAGGGAGAGCAGUGAACAGAAUUUACAGCAUCUAGAAUAAAACUAGGUGAAUGUUUGGAUGCCAUGUUCCUAUAAAGUCCAAUGAAGAGUAGAUUCUUAGGAAGAUUCCUUUAGUGUCUAGGAUUGUGUCUGAGCUCCUCAUCAUGAAUGGAGCACCGCCCCAUCUUGCAACACACUGUUCUCUCACUAGAGACCCUCCCGACCCCAUCUUGCAUGUGUAUAUAUCUGAGAAAUGCAGAGCCUAGUAAUAGUGACUCAGGGAUGUCACCUCAUGAAAAGAGAUCUCCUUGACAUUCCUUAGCAGUUCUUUCUUUCUUUCUUUUCUUUUUAGG
Molecule: long non-coding RNA, 3619 nt
Organism: Sus scrofa (pig)
Lineage: Eukaryota; Metazoa; Chordata; Mammalia; Artiodactyla; Suidae
Source: RefSeq, a predicted model, not a curated record